UAACACUUCAUGACUGACACUGUUUAUCAUAAUAACAGACACAAUGACUGCAAUGACAUUCAUGAUCUUGAUUUUGAUGUUAGGGAUGUAUUUUCAAGAUUCUGCAGGACAGGUGACUAUAAUUCAGACUCCAACAGUCAAACAUGUUCAGAACGGACAAACAGUCACUCUGACCUGUAAAACCAGCAGCUCCAUUGGAGACCUGUCAAAUGGUUGGUGCAAGAACUGUUUCUCCUGGUACUUACAGAAACCUGGAGAAACUCCUAAACUUUUAGUGUACUACAUUAAAACCCUUCAUACUGGAACUCCAUCAAGAUUCAGUGGAAAUGGAGCCGAUCAUGGAACUGAUUUCUCUCUGACCAUCAGUGGAGUCCAGCCUGAAGAUACAGGAGAGUAUUACUGUCUGAGUGUACACUGGAUCAACAGUAAAGCUGUGUUCACACAGUGAUAAAGAGUCGUACAAAAACCUCCGUCAGUCAGAGUCACAGUGACUGCACUGAUACAGCUGAGAGAUACUGCAGCUGCUCUACAACACAAUCACACACAACACUGAUCAGAUCACACACACACUCAAAAAAAGUAUUCAGUCUAAAUUUAAAUUUUAUGUAAUUCAAUUGCAUAACAAUGUCCCAUCCAAUUAGAUUACAUAGUUUUAACAUAAACUUAAUGUGAGUCAUAUGCAUCAGUCAUACAUGAAUGAAACAGGUAAGAUUUGUGUAAUAAUUCACAGCAAAGUCCCCACACUGCUCAGUGUUCAUGUGUUUCCACACUACAGAGUGUUCAAGUAGCAUUGAAGCAGUGUUGAGUUAAGAAGAUAAUUAUGUGAUGAUUGAUCAUUAAUGAUUAAUAGCUGCUGUUAUCAAGAAGAAUCACCGAAGAAAAGAGAAACACAAGAACUACAACUGACUUCAGCCACAGCUGAAGAUGAAAUCAACUGAAAUAAAAGACAUUAAAUCUCUCAAAAUCUGAUUAAACAACUCCACAAACAGCAUCUAGUGUGUGUGUGUGUGUGUGAGAGAGAGCCCAAAUAAUCAGCCAAAGUGUUGAUUAUUUGUCUAAAGCAGGGCUUAUUUAAAAUGUUUAUUUGUUUGUCUUGUCAUAUCAUGAAAUGUACUUUAAUUUCUUUUAAACAAUAUUGUUCAGCACAAUGAUCAACCAUUGUUGUUGUUUUUGUGCUUUAUAAAUAAAAUGAACUGAA
Onychostoma macrolepis is the source of this 1198-nucleotide non-coding RNA. The record is from the annotation of a RefSeq genome assembly. NCBI's taxonomy places the organism in Eukaryota, Metazoa, Chordata, Actinopteri, Cypriniformes, Cyprinidae.